RNAcentral lists this ribosomal RNA (459 nucleotides) under uncultured bacterium. RNAcentral describes it as "partial 16S ribosomal RNA". It matches the Rfam family "Bacterial small subunit ribosomal RNA", at positions 338 to 795 of the family's 1533-position model. The record is from RNAcentral.
CCUACGGGAUGCCGCAGUGAGGAAUAUUGGUCAAUGGACGCAAGUCUGAACCAGCCAUGCCGCGUGCAGGAAGACGGCUCUAUGAGUUGUAAACUUCUUUUGUACGGGGGUAAACGCAGCUACGCGUAUCUGUCUGCAAGUAUCCUACGAAUAAGGAUCGGCUAACUCCGUGCCAGCAGCCGCGGUAAUACGGAGGAUGCGCGCGUUAUCCGGAUUUAUUGGGUUUAAAGGGUUCGUAGGCUGAGUGUUAAGUCAGUGGUAAAAUUGUGGGGCUCAACCCCUUCACGCCAUUGAAACUGGCGGUCUUGAGUGGAAUAGAAGUAUGCGGAAUGCGUGGUGUAGCGGUGAAAUGCAUAGAGAUCACGCAGAACCCCGAUUGCGAAGGCAGCAUGCCGGCUUACGACUGACGCUGAAGCACGAAAGCGUGGGGAUCGAACAGGAUUAGAUACCCGUGUAGUC